This is a long non-coding RNA of Dromaius novaehollandiae (emu), 3129 nucleotides long. RefSeq lists it as uncharacterized. The record is from RefSeq and is a predicted model, not a curated record. Lineage: Eukaryota; Metazoa; Chordata; Aves; Casuariiformes; Dromaiidae. The transcript is spliced from 3 exons.
UCGAUGCCUGCUGUCACCGGUGCGACCGCUCCAGGGCUCGCAGCCCUGAGGGAUGCAUCGAAGGCCCCAGCAAAUUUUACACCCCUAAAUCCCCCCUGAGAUGCCUCAAUCCUGCGUUGCAUCUGCUACCGCUAGCUCUCACGCAAAAGAGCCUCGGUGAAGGGACAGCAGAUGAGCAGGUCCCUUUCCUUUCCCUGCAGUUUGCCCUCCGUGUGAGGAAAAGCGAACACCAUUCCCAAACGCGGCUGGGAGCGUGGGGAAAUCCUGCCUUCGUUGGUGAAGAUACUGCAGAUCCGGUGGCUGAGUGACAUAAGCCCCGCUGCUGCCCGGGGAUUUUCUCCCCGGCUCUGUGCAAACAGCCUGUCGCUUGCUCGCCGCCUCCCCCGGCUCGGCUGCGAUUACAGGGCUCGGGGAUUGCUUUCUUCCGAGUAAAAGACUUACGGGCGCACGCAGCGCGACAAAGGAACCCUGUAAAACCGGGAGCAGAGCCGGUGUUUGGCCCCGCGACCCCCCUGACCCCGCAACAGUUUAGUUAAUGAUUCGGGUUAUCAGAUAUACUGGCUCAGCAGUGCAUCCAUCAUGGGGCUGACAAGGAUUCAAGCCUUCGAGGGGCGGGAAUGUGCAAACACACUCAAUCCUCGCCUGUCCAGCCCCCGGCGUGCCUCCCCCCUAAAUCCGAGAGCAAACAGAGUGUUUCCAUCGGGUGAAGAUCGGUGAUUUAUUGGGAAAUAAUGUACAAGAAGGGCCUGCAGGACCUUGGCCUGCCUCACGUGCAGAUUGAACCCACGCGAUGCUGCUAGCUGCCGGCGCUCCUUGGGGCUCGUUGAGGGAAAAGCAGCAAACAAACAACUGCGCUUUACUUUCCACGAUGGCCUUUGCCUGCUUCUCUGCAAUAUUUUCAUUGCACUGGGUUAAGUCCUGUGGCCCAAGUACCUUGCUGAAAUCAACAGCCUGCUGUGCUGAACCUAAGGUUUAUACCUUGCAUCCGUGCUAUUUCUAUGCCGCAGCUCUCUGCGCUCUUGCCCCUUGUCAAUUAUUUCUUUUCAGCCCCUGCCCAGGACACAGUGACCUCCAUUGCCCUAGAUACUGUCCAGUUCCUCCACCCCCUUUCUGUCGAUUAUUCUGCAAUAAAUCACAACAAUCUUCACAUGGUGAAAAAGCUCUGUUUGUUCUUGGAUCUUGGGGAAGUCAGUAAAAAUGCCCUCAGCCAGAGCAGCUCCAAGGACACCAAAAUAAGGCAGAGAGAACUGGUCCUGCAACAGCAACAGCCCAGGGUUGCCCAGACCUGGACCUGACCCAAACUCCGAAGGUUUGCAAUGGAUGGCUUGCCCCUGUGUUCUUGGAUUUCCUGAUACUUUCAUGCUUGAGCGAGGCCUGAAGCAAACUGCUGAAAUACGUCUGGUCAGCUCACCAGCUUUUUUUACGCUCAACAGACUUGGAAAAAUCUGGAAAUGCUUCCGCUGAACAGACAGUUCAGAAACGAGCUUGAACCCAAAGUCUCUAAAGAUCUGUCCUUCCUUCUGUUCAAAUCCGGUCAUAAAUUCCCACUCCCGUUUCAUUUUCUUGCCUCAUUACGUCGUGACUGUGCUGGUGCGAAGGAGCAGCCAAACGGCAGAUUGCUGCGAAGCCGGCUGGUGCCAAGGCCGGGCUGCGCGCUCCACGCUGGCAGGGCGAGCGGCACGCAGGCUCCGGGGACCUCUUGGACUGUGAACUUUUGGCUCUCCAUCUUGAAGAAAUACUUCCAGAAGACAGGCUGACAUGUCCUGGAGGCUGAGCCGACUCUGUCUAACACCAGCCAUCAGAGAGCACCAGGAGAUGACAGACUGCAGAGCGAGGUGUGCACUAACCAGCCCAACGCGCGUCUCCUUUGCAUAGCAAUUAUUUCAAGUAAGGCAAGUAGACAUAAAAAGGAAUAUUUUUCAAAUUCAGGAAGGACACCCCCACCACACCUCAGUAUUAGCAUUAUUUUCACCAGGCCACUCAAUUUGUUCUCUCCGGAUAAAUGCAGACUCUUGGUCAUGCCUGGUUUGCUGCAGCAUAGGCUGGCAUACAGGUGACUGGUGUUCCUGGGCAUUGGUACGUGCUUGAUAGACAGCUCAUUUCCACAUGUGCCAGAAAACUCCUCAGAUCCUCUGAGCUCGGCAUUUGUCGUCACUGAAGUCAGAGGCAAAACUUCCACUGGCUCCAGUGGGAGAAGGAGCCAGUUUCAUACAGCAAAUCCAUGCAUAUUGCCAUAUGUUGCUUUUUCUCCUCGUUCUAUUUUCCUUUCAUCUCUGCUUCAUCAAAGAAAUGGAGCUGAUCAUUGCAGCCACUCGGGGUGUUUGCACAAAGGCAGUAACUCAAGCCCUGGAGUAUGCUGUUUUGGCAGCGUAGUCUAGGCACUGCGUGUUGUUUCAGCUGACCUCUUCCACAGCUUCUGCCCUGGCCUCUUCACUACCUGCAGGUGGGUCUAACACAAGCCUUUCCUCCGGUACAUUUUUUAAAACCGCUUUCCUUUGACUCGCUUGUGUAUUCAAGCUGUUCAUUUCCUACUUAGCAGAAAAUCCGAAGGAGUUCAUCUGAAGGCCUUUCCACUAGGAAAUCUGCACGCUGCAUUAUUUUUAUGGCUCUGCAGGGCCAAGAGGGGCUCGUGAAUGGGAGCAGUCCCCACCACGACCCUCAAAGUGGAUGCUACUGGGCUUCGGUGCUGGUGAUAUGGCUUUCCUCCGGCGGGACAGUUACAUGUCACUCUCCGUCCUGCCACACUUGAUCACCCACGCUGGACCUGGCGCUGGACUGCAGCCUCAUGUGCAGGAUGGGUGCUGCAGUUCAAAAGAAAUUAUGACAUUCUUUCAUGUAACUGUAUCCUUUGGAAAUGAACCCUCACACUGAGGGAGACACCAAAGGCAUUCGGUUAAUCUUUGCAGUGGUCUGGACAGAUCCUCUGUGAUUCUUCCUUUGUAAGGACUUUAUUCCAAACCUGCUACAAUUGACCAAAGUCUUUGUAACGAGUUCACUGGGCCCCUGAUGGGUUUGGAGAAGGUGAGGGAUGAAAUUCUCUUUCACUGCAUUUCUCAGCUCUGCUUCCCCACUGAGUGAAAUUUCAGGAUGGAGAACAGUCAGAUUAAAGAGAGACAAUCCCAGCUGAAA